AAGUCGUAACAAGGUUUCCGUAGGUGAACCUGCGGAAGGAUCAUUAUUGAAUCUUCUCUUUUACAUUGUGAACUUUUUUUGUUGCUUUUUCGUUUGGAAUUUUGGGUUUCGUUGAUAAUUUUGAGCAGCUUUGCUUCAUUGUGAAGAUGUGAGAAACUGUUGGCGAAUGCAAAAGACUAACGAAAAAGGACAAAACAUUUUAAACAUAUAACAAAUGCAGUCUAAUCAAAAAAACAACAAUCAAAAACAACUUUUAACAAGGGAUCUCUUGGCUCUC
Molecule: unclassified non-coding RNA, 277 nt
Filed under: fungal sp.
Lineage: Eukaryota; Fungi
Description: partial internal transcribed spacer region
Rfam family: Eukaryotic small subunit ribosomal RNA (bases 1-46)
Source: RNAcentral